Molecule: ribosomal RNA, 1550 nt
Filed under: Hepatocystis sp. MFF3
Lineage: Eukaryota; Apicomplexa; Aconoidasida; Haemosporida; Plasmodiidae
Description: SSU rRNA
Rfam family: Eukaryotic small subunit ribosomal RNA
Source: RNAcentral
AAGUAUAUGCAUAUUUUAUAUGUAGAAACUGCGAACGGCUCAUUAAAACAGUUAUAAUCUACUUGACAUUUUUUAUUAUAAGGAUAACUACGGAAAAGCUGUAGCUAAUACUUGCCUUUUGUAUUUUUUUCCAUUGGAAUAAAAUACAUCGUAUUUGUUAUGCCUUAUAAAAAAAAAGUUAAUAACAUAAGGAGUUAUAACAAAGAAGUAACACAUAAUAGAAUUUUAGUUCUAUUUUAGCGUGUAUCAAUCGAGUUUCUGACCUAUCAGCUUUUGAUGUUAGGAUAUUGGCCUAACAUGGCUAUGACGGGUAACGGGGAAUUAGAGUUCGAUUCCGGAGAGGGAGCCUGAGAAACGGCUACCACAUCUAAGGAAGGCAGCAGGCGCGUAAAUUACCCAAUUCUAAAGAAGAGAGGUAGUGACAAGAAAUAACGACAUAAGAUAUAAUUAUAUUUUAUAGUUAGAAUGAUAGGAAUUUAAAACCUUCCUAAAAUACCAUUGGAGGGCAAGUCUGGUGCCAGCAGCCGCGGUAAUUCCAGCUCCAAUAGCGUAUAUUAAAAUUGUUGCAGUUAAAACGCUCGUAGUUGAAUUUCAAGGAAUCUAUAUUUUAAGUAUUGCGACAAAUAAUGAUAUUUUUCUUAAGAGAGUGGUCUUCGCACUUCAUCUCUCUCUUGAAAUUUAUCUUUUUGUCAAUGCUUGCUUUUAAUAAAAAUGAUUCUUUUUAAAAUUUCUUAUUAUAAAUAUAAUAUGAAAUUUUGUUACUUUGAGUAAAUUAGAGUGUUCAAAGCAAACAGUUAAAGCUUUAAUCGGCGUUUGAAUACUAAAGCAUGGAAUAACAAAAUUGAACAAGUCAAAAUUUUGUUCUUUUGUUUUUUUUUGGCUUAGUUACGAUUAAUAGGAGUAGUUUGGGGGCAUUUGUAUUCAGAUGUCAGAGGUGAAAUUCUUAGAUUUUCUGGAGACAAACAACUGCGAAAGCAUUUGUCUAAAAUACUUCCAUUAAUCAAGAACGAAAGUUAAGGGAGUGAAGACGAUCAGAUACCGUCGUAAUCUUAACCAUAAACUAUGCCGACUAGGUUUUGGAUGAAAGAUCAUAAAUUUAGUUAUUAGUAUUAUUUACGAUGUAAAUAAUUUACUAAUUACUAAAAGUUGCUUCCUUCAGUACCUUAUGAGAAAUCAAAGUUUUUGGGUUCUGGGGCGAGUAUUCGCGCAAGCGAGAAAGUUAAAAGAAUUGACGGAAGGGCACCACCAGGCGUGGAGCUUGCGGCUUAAUUUGACUCAACACGGGAAACCUCACUAGUAUAAGACAAGAGUAGGAUUGACAGAUUGAUAAGUUCUUUCUUGAUUUCUUGGUUAGUGAUGCAUGGCCGUUUUUAGUUCGUGAAUAUGAUUUGUCUGGUUAAUUCCGAUAACGAACGAGAUCUUACCUUGCUAAUUAGCGGUAAAUACGCUGUAUUCUUAGUAAAAUUGUAAUAUUGAUUAUAUUGCUUCCUUUUUUGGUUGCAAUUUUUCAAUUUAAUUUUUUGCUUAAGAAUGUAUUUGCUUGAUUUAAA